RNAcentral lists this ribosomal RNA (439 nucleotides) under uncultured bacterium. RNAcentral's name for it is "partial 16S ribosomal RNA". It matches the Rfam family "Bacterial small subunit ribosomal RNA", at positions 339 to 795 of the family's 1533-position model. The record is from RNAcentral.
CUACGGGACGCUGCAGUGGGGAAUUUUGCGCAAUGGGGGAAACCCUGACGCAGCAAUACCGCGUGAGUGAAGAAGGCCUUUGGGUCGUAAAGCUCUUUUCUUGGGGAAGAUAGUGACGGUACCCAAGGAAUAAGCACCGGCUAACUCCGUGCCAGCAGCCGCGGUAAUACGGAGGGUGCAAGCGUUGUUCGGAUUUACUGGGCGUAAAGGGCACGUAGGCGGCACAGCAAGUUAAGGGUGAAAUCCCGGGGCUCAACUCCGGAACUGCUCUUAAAACUGCUGAGCGAGAGAUAGUCAGAGGCGGGUGGAAUUCCAGGUGUAGAGGUGAAAUUCGUAGAUAUCUGGAGGAACACCGGUGGCGAAGGCGGCCCGCUGGGGCUAUUCUGACGCUAAGGUGCGAAAGCGUGGGGAGCAAACGGGAUUAGAUACCCUGGUAGUC